CAAGUUAUACAGUAGCCUAAAGCAGAGCAAGUGUACAACAAGUUGAUAAAAAGAAUGCCCAGUCAUGCUAUUUGAUUUCACAAGAGAAGAAUGUGUCAGGUGCAAUGUUGUGUACACUUUAUAAUUCUAUAAUAAUUUGUAGUGCACUGUGGCUGGAAGCCAGAGUACACUUGAAGCUACGAACUAUGCAACAAGCCUGAAACUCCAACAACAAGAAGCAGAGUUGAGUUCCUAGCCAUCAGACAAGACUGGAACUCCCAGCAUUUGCCUCUCAAAUUUUUAUAUAGAGUGAAAAUUCCCAGCAGGGUAGAUAGUGAUCAACUUGUUGUACAACAAGUGCAGAGCAGCUACACAAGAAAAAUACAAGCUCACUGAUACUAGUUGUGCACUUGUUUCUUUCAUUCACCACUGCUCUGAUCUGUAGUGAAAGCGAAAGCAUGGCCAAAAGAAGUUAAAAAAUGUUAUUAGUUGUAAGAGGAUAGAGAUGCCACUGGAUCUCAGAAUAAUAUCAGAUCAGGUUGUUGAAGACGUUGAUGAAGAUGUUGUCAUUGGUGACGGCGUCGAUCUGCAGCCCCGGGAACUGCAUGUUGAUCAGGAUCCCCUGCACUGCCGCCAGCUUAACUCAAGGCUGCGGUGGGUUUCCAUGGCCGGGCUGCACCCCGUCGCUUGUCACUGUUCCUCCUCUCCUACCUGCAGAGACAGAGACGGGGGUGAGAGGGAGGGGGAGAUUGAGCCACCUGUUGUACCAGGAUUACACAGCAAAGCAAGAAAUAACCACACAUUUCCUGCUAGAGAUUCAUGGGAGCCGCACUCACCAGCCUGCCCCUGCUGAAGGUGAAGUCCUCGAUUCCGUGGCCACUGAAGAAAUCCGCCACCUCCUGCAGCACCGGCGGCUUGUCCAGGUCGAACUCGUGUGUGCAUAUGGAACACCUACGAACCACGCAGAAGAAGAGUCAGCUCACACGCACGCACGUACAGAAGUGGUACACAAUAUCUGGUUGAAUCAAAGGAAUCGAAGCGGCGAGAACCGAACUGUUGGAGAGACGAGAUCGACAGAUCACUCACGUGGUGGAGGUCGGCCUUGAGGGGCGCCAUGGCCUCUGGGGAUGACGAGGCCGCCAUCGUCACCGCGGAGGCAGUCACCCGCGAGGGAGGCCGGCAGGCUUGGCCUAGACAUGCUUGACCUUGGAGAGGAUCUCCCGCGGCCGCCAUCGCUGAUCCUGCUACUGGAUCCGAGCUUCGGGGAUUGGGGAUUGGGGAUCGGGGAGACGAACCCCUAGCUGCAGCGGAGGAGGAAGAAGAGCUGGGAGCGGGAGCGAGGUUCGGGUGCAGCGCGAGGGAAGGAGGGCGCCGCUGGUGACAGAAAGGAAGGAGGGUGCCGCCGGUGAUAGUGCGAGGGAAGGAGGCCGCGGCGCGAGGGGUGAGGGAGAGGCCGAUCUGGAUCGGGGACAGAGAGACGGAGGCGGCGGGCGGAAGGAAGGGACGAGAGGUGAGAGAGAGGUAGGGUUUGGUGCGGUGGGUUUUUUCCCUUUCUUUGCAUGGACGGAUGGAUGGAUGUUGGAUUGCUAGCAAUGGAUGGUAGGAUGUCUGCCAUCUCAUCGAUCCGUGCCACAAACGAUUCCACCAAUCACAAUGUAGUACACACUUUGACGAUUUUAUAACCAUCUAAAUUGGUCGUAAUCAAAUAAAUAAUAUGCUAAAUCAUGUCACCUAUUUUAUAACAUCAUAGAAUUAGAAAAAAAAUAAGAACAAUAGCAUCGUGUCACAAGUAAGACUUGUUUUCCAGAAAAAUAACAAACCUGGAAUAAUACAAAUAUCUUUAAAAAUUGAUCUCAAAAAUGAGUUUUAUUUGCAAAAAAACAUUUUCUACCUUUGGAGUGUCGAAAAUGGUAUAUAUUUUUUGUAGCACUUACCAAUAUUUGUUGCAAAAUGGCACCACUCUAUUUUUCAAUAAUAUUAGAUCAUAUUUUAGGUACAAUUGACCAAAUGCUUGUGUCUCAAUAGCUGUUUAUCCACCUCUCGUCAAUAAUUGAGGAGGUUUUUCAAGUGCCCAUUUUCCAUUUUUCGAGUGCCCAAAAGGAGGUCUUUUUGUGAAGAACCUACCAAAUAAUUGUUGCAAAAUUGGACCAAAUCAUUUUUCUAAAAUACUAGGCCAUAUUUAAUGCACAAUUGGCCAAAUGGUUGGGUGUAAAAAGUUUUGAUCCACCUCUCGUGAAAAAGACAAAUUUUCGCCGAUUCAGCUGGAAGCGGGUCAAAUUUGAACUGUAGGUACCCUGUAGUUUGCUCUUUUAUUUUUUCCAAAAAUCAAUUCUCGGUACAUAAGUAUCUAUUUAAUCAGAGAAACACCAAAAAAAAUCCAAGAUUCAACCACUAGCUAGGAAUGGUCAUUCCCGCUGUUUUGACCGUAUUUUGAAACGGGCAUAAAAAAUUCAAAAAAAAAUAAAAAAUUGGGAAACCUUCACAUUGUGUCAUUAUAUGUGGCCAAGUUCCCAGGAAAAAUAACAACUUGCAAUACAGCAAUUAUUUUAAAAAAGUGUUCUCAGAAACGAGCUAUCACGUGUGGAGAUCGAGGGCUUUCAAGCCAAAUGAUCAAUCUUAUAGCCACAUUCAUGGCAUAGUUUGUCCAAAUGAUCUCAUAUUCUGCACAAGGGUGCAUAUUGGAAUGGCAAACAAUUUUGCUUAAGGAAGUUUUCAUUUUCUUUGGACGAAAAAACCAUUUUCCAUUUUUCGAGUGCGCAAAAGGAGUUCUUUUUGUGAAGAACCUCCCAAAUAAUUAUUGUAAAACUGGACCAAAUCAUUUUUCUAAACUACUAGGCCAUAUUUAAAGCACAAAUGACCAAAUAGUUGGGUGUCAAAAGAUUUUAUCCACAACUGGUAAAAAAGACAAAUUUCGCUGAUCCAGCUGGAAGCGGGUGAAAUUUGAACUGUAGCUGCCUCAUAGUUUGCUAUUUAUGUUUUCCAAAAAUCAUUUCUAGGUACAUAAGUAUCUAUUUUAUCAUAGAAACACCAAAAGUUUUCCAAGAUUCAACCACUAGCUAGGAACGGUCAAGCCCGCAGUUUUGACCGUAUUUUGAAACGGACAUAAAAAAUUCAAAAAAAAUCAAAAAAUUGGAAAACCUUCGCAUUGUGUCAUUAUAUGUGACCAAGUUUCCAGGAAAAAUAAUAAACUUGUAAUACGGUUAAUAUUUUAAAAAAGUGUUCUCAGAAUUGAGCUAUCAUGCGUGAAGAUUCAUGGCUUUCAAGCCAAAUGAUCAAUCUUAUGACCACAUUCAUGGCAUAGUUUGUUCAAAUGAUCUCAUAUUGUGCACAAGGAUGCAUCUUGGAAUUCCAAACAAUGUUGCCUAAGGGAGUUUUCAUUUUCUUUGCACGGAAAAUUCAUUUUCCAUUUUCCGAGUGCCCGAAAUGAGGGGUUUUUGUGAAGGAACUACCAAAUAAUUGUUGCAAAAAUGGACCAAAUCAAUUUUAUAAGAUACUAGGCCAUGUUUAAUGCACAGUUGACAAAAUGGUUGGGUGUGAAAAGUUUUGAUCCACCUCUGGUGAAAAAGACAAAUUGUCGCCGAUUCAGGUGGAAGCGGGUCAAAUUUGAACUGUAGUUGCCUCAUAGUUUGCUAUUUAUUUUUUCCAAAAAUCAUUUCUAGGUACAUAAGUAUCUAUUUUAUCAUAGAAACACCAAAAGUUUUCCAAGAUUCAACCACUAGCUAGGAACGGUCAAGCCCGCCGUUUUGACCGCAUUUUGAAACGGGCAUAAAAAAUUAAAAAAAAU
This 3763-nucleotide long non-coding RNA is filed under the name Triticum aestivum (bread wheat). RNAcentral describes it as "long non-coding RNA (TAES_LNC028305)". The record is from RNAcentral. Lineage: Eukaryota; Viridiplantae; Streptophyta; Magnoliopsida; Poales; Poaceae.